CACGCUACGUAAACAAGCACCAGCUUCGCGUCGAACGAAAGCUCUCGUAAGUUUCGCGACCAUACCCUCUUCAACUACCCAAUAAAAAAAAAAUAAAAUCUCGGUUGUGUAUAAUUAUUUCCCAAUCUUUAUUUUUCUUUAAAAUUUUUGAAUACGCGUUCCGGUUAUUUUUCGAUUACAGUUCAACCCUGAUCGAGUUUUUAUGGCGUCACAUCGUUAGAGGUGGUUGUCGCUAUAGGUCGUUUUAAUGAAAUGAUUGUUACGUGAAACGAAAACGAAGCUUACACUGGUACGAUGACCGAGAUAAAAUCCAGUGUAAAUAAAAGGACGAAAUAUAAUUUUUCCUGCGGCGGCUCAGUGUCCCGGCACAGUUAUACCGCUUGUUCACUGAAAUCGGAAUUAAAAUUGCGCGGUCGCGGCUGCAGGGGCUCGUAAUGUGCUGCAGCUCACGGGGCCUAUCCCGUUUGGGAGUGGUGUGGGGCCUCGUUGCUCUGGUCACCUUACUCGUCGUCUUCGUUAGCGGCAGUUGGCUCUACACCAAGGAACCCAUUACUUUCACAAAACCCGAUCGAACAACCACCAUUAGUUUUCGAGUAGGCCUCUGGAGAGUGUGUCCUACCAUAAAGAAAAUUAACUCAUCAAACACGCCGUCCCCCGCCUGUUCGCUCGUGAAGUACUCCGGCUGGGAAGAGGUUAGGUCGACGGACCUUGUGACCUCAUCAGUUCCGCUCGAGUUCACGCCCGUUUUCAUCACGCGGAUGAGGUCCUGUACCGUAUUAUCUGGAGCAGCAAUCGUCCUGUUACUUCUAGGAUUCUUCUUCGCACUUCUUGGCCAUUGUAAUGGUGACAAUAAAACCCUAAUUGCCUGUGGAAUGUUUAUAU
This is a non-coding RNA of Onthophagus taurus, 882 nucleotides long. Lineage: Eukaryota; Metazoa; Arthropoda; Insecta; Coleoptera; Scarabaeidae. The record is from RefSeq and is a predicted model, not a curated record.